UUAAAAAGCUCGUAGUUGGAUUUCGGCGGGCAUUGGUUGGUUUGAAUUGUUUCAACACUGACUAUUUUGCCCGUGUGUUUUGCCAGAAUUUAACGGGUGCUCUUCGCCGAGUGUCUGUUAGAGCUGGCAGGUUUACUUUGAAAAAAUUAGAGUGCUCAAAGCAAGCUUAAUCGCUUGAAUAUUCGUGCAUGGAAUAAUAGAAUAGGAAGUCGUUUCCUAUUUUGUUGGUUUUCCGGAAAUCGACUUAAUGAUUAAUAGGGACAGUCGGGGGCAUUUGUAUU
This 281-nucleotide ribosomal RNA is filed under the name uncultured eukaryote. RNAcentral describes it as "partial 18S ribosomal RNA". It matches the Rfam family "Eukaryotic small subunit ribosomal RNA", at positions 619 to 898 of the family's 1831-position model. The record is from RNAcentral.